RNAcentral lists this ribosomal RNA (2551 nucleotides) under Escherichia coli KTE136. RNAcentral's name for it is "bacterial LSU rRNA". It matches the Rfam family "Bacterial large subunit ribosomal RNA", at positions 397 to 2925 of the family's 2925-position model. Lineage: Bacteria; Pseudomonadati; Pseudomonadota; Gammaproteobacteria; Enterobacterales; Enterobacteriaceae. The record is from RNAcentral.
CUGUGAGCUCGAUGAGUAGGGCGGGACACGUGGUAUCCUGUCUGAAUAUGGGGGGACCAUCCUCCAAGGCUAAAUACUCCUGACUGACCGAUAGUGAACCAGUACCGUGAGGGAAAGGCGAAAAGAACCCCGGCGAGGGGAGUGAAAAAGAACCUGAAACCGUGUACGUACAAGCAGUGGGAGCACAGAGCAAUCUGUGUGACUGCGUACCUUUUGUAUAAUGGGUCAGCGACUUAUAUUCUGUAGCAAGGUUAACCGAAUAGGGGAGCCGAAGGGAAACCGAGUCUUAACUGGGCGUUAAGUUGCAGGGUAUAGACCCGAAACCCGGUGAUCUAGCCAUGGGCAGGUUGAAGGUUGGGUAACACUAACUGGAGGACCGAACCGACUAAUGUUGAAAAAUUAGCGGAUGACUUGUGGCUGGGGGUGAAAGGCCAAUCAAACCGGGAGAUAGCUGGUUCUCCCCGAAAGCUAUUUAGGUAGCGCCUCGUGAAUUCAUCUCCGGGGGUAGAGCACUGUUUCGGCAAGGGGGUCAUCCCGACUUACCAACCCGAUGCAAACUGCGAAUACCGGAGAAUGUUAUCACGGGAGACACACGGCGGGUGCUAACGUCCGUCGUGAAGAGGGAAACAACCCAGACCGCCAGCUAAGGUCCCAAAGUCAUGGUUAAGUGGGAAACGAUGUGGGAAGGCCCAGACAGCCAGGAUGUUGGCUUAGAAGCAGCCAUCAUUUAAAGAAAGCGUAAUAGCUCACUGGUCGAGUCGGCCUGCGCGGAAGAUGUAACGGGGCUAAACCAUGCACCGAAGCUGCGGCAGCGACGCUUAUGCGUUGUUGGGUAGGGGAGCGUUCUGUAAGCCUGCGAAGGUGUGCUGUGAGGCAUGCUGGAGGUAUCAGAAGUGCGAAUGCUGACAUAAGUAACGAUAAAGCGGGUGAAAAGCCCGCUCGCCGGAAGACCAAGGGUUCCUGUCCAACGUUAAUCGGGGCAGGGUGAGUCGACCCCUAAGGCGAGGCCGAAAGGCGUAGUCGAUGGGAAACAGGUUAAUAUUCCUGUACUUGGUGUUACUGCGAAGGGGGGGACGGAGAAGGCUAUGUUGGCCGGGCGACGGUUGUCCCGGUUUAAGCGUGUAGGCUGGUUUUCCAGGCAAAUCCGGAAAAUCAAGGCUGAGGCGUGAUGACGAGGCACUACGGUGCUGAAGCAACAAAUGCCCUGCUUCCAGGAAAAGCCUCUAAGCAUCAGGUAACAUCAAAUCGUACCCCAAACCGACACAGGUGGUCAGGUAGAGAAUACCAAGGCGCUUGAGAGAACUCGGGUGAAGGAACUAGGCAAAAUGGUGCCGUAACUUCGGGAGAAGGCACGCUGAUAUGUAGGUGAAGUCCCUCGCGGAUGGAGCUGAAAUCAGUCGAAGAUACCAGCUGGCUGCAACUGUUUAUUAAAAACACAGCACUGUGCAAACACGAAAGUGGACGUAUACGGUGUGACGCCUGCCCGGUGCCGGAAGGUUAAUUGAUGGGGUCAGCGCAAGCGAAGCUCUUGAUCGAAGCCCCGGUAAACGGCGGCCGUAACUAUAACGGUCCUAAGGUAGCGAAAUUCCUUGUCGGGUAAGUUCCGACCUGCACGAAUGGCGUAAUGAUGGCCAGGCUGUCUCCACCCGAGACUCAGUGAAAUUGAACUCGCUGUGAAGAUGCAGUGUACCCGCGGCAAGACGGAAAGACCCCGUGAACCUUUACUAUAGCUUGACACUGAACAUUGAGCCUUGAUGUGUAGGAUAGGUGGGAGGCUUUGAAGUGUGGACGCCAGUCUGCAUGGAGCCGACCUUGAAAUACCACCCUUUAAUGUUUGAUGUUCUAACGUUGACCCGUGAUCCGGGUUGCGGACAGUGUCUGGUGGGUAGUUUGACUGGGGCGGUCUCCUCCUAAAGAGUAACGGAGGAGCACGAAGGUUGGCUAAUCCUGGUCGGACAUCAGGAGGUUAGUGCAAUGGCAUAAGCCAGCUUGACUGCGAGCGUGACGGCGCGAGCAGGUGCGAAAGCAGGUCAUAGUGAUCCGGUGGUUCUGAAUGGAAGGGCCAUCGCUCAACGGAUAAAAGGUACUCCGGGGAUAACAGGCUGAUACCGCCCAAGAGUUCAUAUCGACGGCGGUGUUUGGCACCUCGAUGUCGGCUCAUCACAUCCUGGGGCUGAAGUAGGUCCCAAGGGUAUGGCUGUUCGCCAUUUAAAGUGGUACGCGAGCUGGGUUUAGAACGUCGUGAGACAGUUCGGUCCCUAUCUGCCGUGGGCGCUGGAGAACUGAGGGGGGCUGCUCCUAGUACGAGAGGACCGGAGUGGACGCAUCACUGGUGUUCGGGUUGUCAUGCCAAUGGCACUGCCCGGUAGCUAAAUGCGGAAGAGAUAAGUGCUGAAAGCAUCUAAGCACGAAACUUGCCCCGAGAUGAGUUCUCCCUGACUCCUUGAGAGUCCUGAAGGAACGUUGAAGACGACGACGUUGAUAGGCCGGGUGUGUAAGCGCAGCGAUGCGUUGAGCUAACCGGUACUAAUGAACCGUGAGGCUUAACCUU